RNAcentral lists this ribosomal RNA (390 nucleotides) under Actinosphaerium sp. RNAcentral's name for it is "partial small subunit ribosomal RNA". It matches the Rfam family "Eukaryotic small subunit ribosomal RNA", at positions 587 to 975 of the family's 1831-position model. Lineage: Eukaryota; Actinophryidae. The record is from RNAcentral.
AGCUCCAAUAGCGUAUAUUUAAGUUGCUGCAGUUAAAAAGCUCGUAGUUGAAUUUAUGAAGAUAUUUUUAAAUAUUUAUUAUCUUAUAAAUGAUUUAUUAAUAUUCUUUACUAAUUGCUGCAUUUACACGAAUUGUUUUUCUACAUUUCGUUGUUCUUAUGUAGUUUGGUUACUGUGAGUAAAUUAGAAUGUUCAAAGUAGGCGGUCGCUAUGAAUAUAUUAGCAUGGAAUAACAUUAUAGUACUUCAAUCUAUUUUGCUGACCUGUUAGAAUGGAGUAACGAUUGAUAGGGACAGUUGGGGGCAUUCGUAUUUCAUUGUCAGAGGUGAAAUUCUUAGAUUGAUGAAAGACGAACUACUGCGAAGGCAUUUGUCAAGGAUGUUUUCAUUA